GGCGAUUUAUAAAUUGGUGGUAGGAGAGGUGGUGAUGGGGAUGGUGGUGGCUUGUAAUGUGUUGGUGGCGAUGGUGAUGGUGUUGGUGGAGGUGGCGAAUACUCUACACAUGGUAGAGGGGGAGGUGGAGAUGGUGGUGGUGGUGAAUGGACUGGAAGAGGUGGAGGAUAGAUAAGUGGUGGCGGAGGUGAUAAGUAGGGAUAGAUAUGUGGAGGAGGUGAAUUUGGGGGUGGAGGUGGUGGUGGCGAUUUAUAAAUUGGUGGUAG
RNAcentral lists this unclassified non-coding RNA (266 nucleotides) under Hevea brasiliensis (rubber tree). The record is from RNAcentral. Lineage: Eukaryota; Viridiplantae; Streptophyta; Magnoliopsida; Malpighiales; Euphorbiaceae.